CCUACGGGAGGCAGCAGUAGGGAAUAUUGCACAAUGGGCGAAAGCCUGAUGCAGCAACGCCGCGUGCGGGAAGAAGGCCCUAGGGUUGUAAACCGCUUUCAGCAGGGAAGAAAAUGACGGUACCUGCAGAAGAAGGUGCGGCCAACUACGUGCCAGCAGCCGCGGUGACACGUAGGCACCAAGCGUUGUUUGGAUUUAUUGGGCGUAAAGAGCUCGUAGGCGGUUCAGUUAGUCGGGUGUGAAAACUCUGGGCUCAACCCAGAGACGCCACUCGAUACUGCUGUGACUAGAGUGCGGUAGGGGAGCGGGGAAUUCCUAGUGUAGCGGUGAAAUGCGCAGAUAUUAGGAGGAACACCAGUGGCGAAGGCGCCGCUCUGGGCCGUAACUGACGCUGAGGAGCGAAAGCGUGGGUAGCAAACAGGAUUAGAUACCCUGGUAGUCCACGCCGUAAACGUUGGGCACUAGGUGUGGGUCUCAACCAACGAGAUCCGCGCCGUCGCUAACGCAUUAAGUGCCCCGCCUGGGGAGUACGGCCGCAAGGCUAAAACUCAAAGGAAUUGACGG
RNAcentral lists this ribosomal RNA (564 nucleotides) under uncultured Actinomycetes bacterium. RNAcentral describes it as "bacterial SSU rRNA". It matches the Rfam family "Bacterial small subunit ribosomal RNA", at positions 338 to 916 of the family's 1533-position model. The record is from RNAcentral. Lineage: Bacteria; Bacillati; Actinomycetota; Actinomycetes.